RNAcentral lists this small nucleolar RNA (106 nucleotides) under Olea europaea subsp. europaea. RNAcentral describes it as "Plant small nucleolar RNA R71". It matches the Rfam family "Plant small nucleolar RNA R71". Rfam says of the family: R71 is a member of the C/D box family of snoRNAs containing the C (UGAUGA) and D (CUGA) box motifs. Multiple nearly identical copies of this snoRNA have been identified in Arabidopsis, and it is thought to function as a 2'-O-ribose methylation guide for 18S ribosomal RNA. The record is from Rfam by way of RNAcentral. Lineage: Eukaryota; Viridiplantae; Streptophyta; Magnoliopsida; Lamiales; Oleaceae.
AUGUCAAAGUUGGGGCAUUUUAUGAAAAAAUUCUUGAACCUCUCCCAUGCUUCAGGAUAGCUCUCGAGAUCUUUUUGUUUGAAAGUGUAGACUUCAUUCCUAAUUU